GGUGGGGAAGAAUGACGGGAACACGAAGCAGCAGCAAUUUACGAUCGCCAUCUUCCACUCCGAUCUCACCCGUACGGUUUUCUUCUGCCCGAUGAGGAAGAGGUGUAGUUCUGAAUCAUGUUCUUCGAGGAUUAAUGCAUAUUUAUAUUCACUACUUCAAAAUCUUAGGUUCGAAUCCAUAUCUAUGUUUCCUUUUCAGUGUUUGAGAUAGAUUUUGUUCAUAUCUCAAUCUUACACCUUCGAGAUCUGUCUUGAUUUCUUCUUGUUCAUCUUUGGGGUGAUUACACUAUCCCAAAGAUGUUUCACCUAUUUGUUGUGAAUGGUGCCUUUGUCAUCUCUUCUUUGUCCGUUUUCCUCUACUAGCUUUGGUUUUUAGACCAAGUCAAAUGCGUCAUACUACUCCCAACAGUCGUGCAAACAUGUCUGGAUGUCAUCCCACACUGCGUUUUGACAGAAACUUUAAUCUCGUGAAUUCAUUACGCGAUGACAAGUUUGUCUCAUGAUGAAUUACCUUCUUGUUCAUUAAAUUGCUUUGCAGAUUUCAACUCGAAGGACAAAUAUCAGAAGGUUACAUCUCUCAGCAUCUGCAUUCACUUAUCACUCUCUUUUAUGGUCUGUCUCAGAGCUCAUUUACCCGUGCCUUCAAUUUUCUUCCCCGGAACAGUGCUGUGCGUGAAGAGCAAGCAAGGCCAGUGAGCACCCUCUCCACACAUUCGAAUUCAGCUUCUUAUUCCAAGAAAUCGAUCGUUGUGUUCUUCUUCCUCUUGAGUAUAUUUGUGGCAAGACUUUGCGAGCAAUAGUUGCUCGUGUUGGCAUGAAAGAAGGAAUCUACCGACCAAGUUUGGUUCAAUCGUGAUGUAUUCUGUGCUAUGUAUUCUACCCUCAUUUAUAUGACGCGACUUAUCCUUACAGCAGAAUCUGAUGAACACUAGUGUGGCAUCGAGAGCACAUAUCGUGCAUGAGAAGUCCCUCCCUAUUCAUGUCCGCACUUCAAAGAAGCAGUGGUGUCAGAGAAUUAGACGUCACACAGCGAUGCUACUUCGUUUACCGAAGCAUGCCACUUUCUUUAGCGACCAACUCCCUUCGAUUUAUUCCUACCUAUGCUCUGCCCAAUACAUCCUAUCAAAUAUAUGAUCUAUACGGCUGUGUAAUAUUAAUGUCCUUUUGUCUCUAUAUUUUAAAAAAUUAUAUUGAUAUCGAUAUAAUUAUAGAAUUAAAAAUAUUUAUAUUUAUUUAUCCUAACAUUAUCGAUUUU
RNAcentral lists this long non-coding RNA (1255 nucleotides) under Musa acuminata (dwarf banana). RNAcentral's name for it is "long non-coding RNA (MACU_LNC002566)". Lineage: Eukaryota; Viridiplantae; Streptophyta; Magnoliopsida; Zingiberales; Musaceae. The record is from RNAcentral.